AGCGAACGCUGGCGGCAGGCCUAACACAUGCAAGUCGAACGAACCUUUCGGGGUUAGUGGCGGACGGGUGAGUAACACGUGGGAACGUGCCUUUAGGUUCGGAAUAACUCAGGGAAACUUGUGCUAAUACCGAAUGUGCCCUUCGGGGGAAAGAUUUAUCGCCUGUAGAGCGGCCCGCGUCUGAUUAGCUAGUUGGUUGAGGUAAUGGCUCACCAAGGCGACGAUCAGUAGCUGGUCUGAGAGGAUGAUCAGCCACAUUGGGACUGAGACACGGCCCAAACUCCUACGGGAGGCAGCAGUGGGGAAUCUAGCGCAAUGGGCGAAAGCCUGACGCAGCCAUGCCGCGUGAAUGAUGAAGGUCUUAGGAUUGUAAAAUUCUUUCACCGGGGACGAUAAUGACGGUACCCGGAGAAGAAGCCCCGGCUAACUUCGUG
Molecule: ribosomal RNA, 434 nt
Filed under: uncultured bacterium
Lineage: Bacteria
Description: partial 16S ribosomal RNA
Rfam family: Bacterial small subunit ribosomal RNA
Source: RNAcentral